Molecule: long non-coding RNA, 826 nt
Organism: Ictalurus punctatus (channel catfish)
Lineage: Eukaryota; Metazoa; Chordata; Actinopteri; Siluriformes; Ictaluridae
Exons: 3
Source: RefSeq, a predicted model, not a curated record
AGAACUGAUGUGAUGGAUGUGAGGGCUGAUGUCAUGCGAUGGAGGAAUCUGUACAAAACCUCUUUUUUAUUUAUUAAUUUUUAUGCUCAACAGAAAAGCUGAAGAAGAUGAAAGGAUAAUAUUUGAUGAAGAAAAAACAACAAGAAAGGAAGAAAUUCCAUACAACAUGCGCUGCAAACAAAAGGCUCCAUCUUAUCAAGAAGCCAUCAGUCGACCUGAUUCCGAGUGCAGGCUGCUCUUCACACACGUGUCUGGGAGGAAAGCCGAGCUCUGCAUGGUCCUGCCGCUAGCCUCAUUUCACUCCUCUCUCGGAGGAACCUGUGCGCUGUUCACAGGUAGCACAACCGAAAACAGGAUUUCUCACAUCACUGGCUGCACAGCAUAAACCUACAGUGUUAAAAGAACCACGGUGUUCCUCAGCAGAAGUGGAAGGAUGACGACGAUAACCACCACCACCACCACCAUCAUCAUCAUCAUCAUGGCCUUUCAGGAUAUACAAGGGCAAGUCGUGAAGGCUGUCCGCACAAACAGGAUUUAUAUUCGCCUAUUGGUGUUUUUUCACUGACAAACAAUAAUACCACAGCCUUCAAAGCCUUACCAAAUUCUGGUGAUAACUGACUCGAGAAGCAUUAAUAAAAUUAAAGCAUCAUUAUAGCAUUAUAACCAAACUUAUUAUCCUGUAAAAACAGGAUAUCUUGGCACACGCCAACAAUAGACGGACAGCGUUAGGCUAUAUUUACAGACACAAGCCUACACCACCCCUGGAUGUAAUCACACAGCAUGCUGUGAAGUGUGUGGAAUAAAGCAGCCUGUAGCUCUAACCUGC